Long non-coding RNA from Taeniopygia guttata (zebra finch), 1942 nucleotides. RefSeq lists it as uncharacterized. Lineage: Eukaryota; Metazoa; Chordata; Aves; Passeriformes; Estrildidae. The record is from RefSeq and is a predicted model, not a curated record.
UAAUAACCUGAAGAUAAAACACAAGGAAAUCUUUAGAAGGGAUAAAAUUGUUAAAUAUAUAUUACACUUUUCAAAAAGCUGCCUUUUCUUAGCCCUAAGUCUUUGAUAAAGAUAAAGCCUGUCUGGGAAAUCAAGAUGCACAUAAUUCCUAGUGCAUAAUAGAAAAGUGCCAGAAAAUUAUGUGAUUCAGAAUCACAAAGCAAGUUACAAAUAUUUGUUGUUUUAGCUUUGGAGGUACCUAAAAUGUGAAGAAAUAUCAUCUCUGGUUUACUGAUGGGGCAGAAAAGCAGUCAUCAGAUUUGACUGUGAUGGAAAAGGUGUCUCUGGUAAACCAGCAGUCCACACAGAGUUCCUCAGAGUAUGUAGAGUGCACAAAACUCUUGAUUAAUUAUUUCCAUUUCUUAAAUUUCCCUUCACAUACAAGAUACCAUGUAAUAUGCAGUUCAAUUCAGCAGGUUAAAUAAACAAAGUCUCUCUUACAGUUACUUGUAAAAGCAAUCCUGAAAGCAAGCUCUCUUCCUGUGUUGGAAGGACAUGGUGAAACUCUGGUACAGCACAUCUCCAUGGUCUCAGUUCUACAGAAUAUUAAAUAUUUGCCAUCAACUCCAAAACCCACACAUUUAUGACUUUUACAUUUGUAUCUUUCCCUUUCAUCUUCACUGAAUUUGAAUGUAAUUGUUUUCACCUGAAGAAUCUGGUAUAAUCCAAACACAAACCCAUAGAAGCCCUUGCUGUGCUAUGCUAUGCUAUACUGUACUGAGCUAUACUAUAACUAUUUAAUACACAAAAACACUGCUGACAGUGGAUUAGCACUCAGUUCUAGGUCAAGCCUGGGCCCAGCUCACAGUGAUGAAACUCUCAACUAAACAAUGAAAUCCCCCAUCCAGCAUUUUAUCACCUCAUGGUAUAUUCACGUGGGCACAGAUGCUCAGCCCUGGAGAGCAGCAGGGCAAACUGCCUAGUCUGAAGGGAAUGCAUGUUUUACCUGGUGGUACAGAACAGCAAGACUGUAUUUCUUUCAAUCUCUGCUCAGAAAAUUCAGGGAUGGUUGGUAUACCUUUCUAAGGUAACCAUGGUACUCUUGUGUACUCUUUUCACAGCUUCACAUGCUAUGGAUUCAAAAGAAGCACUAUCCAAAAAUAAGGCCUUGCUGCUUUUUCCUUUUUGCUAUGCUAAUUUGCAUUUUUGUCAUCAUCUUCUGUCCUAUCUAGGAACAUAAAAUUUCUUCCAAGGCAAAACUUACAAAAUCAUGACCACACUAGAGUAAAAUUAGCUUUUGAGGAUGUUACUGUCAAAUUCUUUUUUAAUACUUUUUUUUUUUUUAAUAGAGAUAGAUAGGCUUUACUCCUGUAAAAACUGAAAAAAAAAAAAUCACUUGCUUUAAGUGCUUUAUCACUUGUCUGGCUGAAAUAAGUGAUCAAAACUGCAAAGAAUUUCAUUUUUUAGCUUCAACCAGCAGAGUUCCAUUGAAUUCACAGCAAACACAUACAAAUAAGAAUUGUGAUGUGGUUUUUGUCCCUUUACUUUUACUUUUGCUUUCCAACAGAGGGAAUACCAGCUCUGGUUUUGGUGAAAAUAUCCUUGGGAGCUCAGAAACUCUCAGUCAUGAAACAACAGGCCAAGUUUCCCUUCUGGAGGUUAACAAAGUUUCCUGUACAACUGGAUCAAUAUUCACAUGUAAGACAUGUUCCUUCAUGGUUAUAAACAGUGUGCCUUGCAGAAGGCUUUACUCUGUGAUCUUUCCCUCAUUGCUGUUCUUGCUCCGUAGAUGACUAUGGAAAAUGUCAGUCCUUUUUUUUUUUUACUUGAGGGUAGAGGACUCCAACACUCCAAUUCCCAGUGGAUUAACCACUUUAAAUAAAGUGCUGGCAUCUGUAUCUUCAGGUUUGCUUAUGUUACCAUUUCCUGAUUUUCCAUUUCUGGAUAAAAGAGGUUCAACAUG